GACGAACGCUGGCGGCGUGCUUAACACAUGCAAGUCGAACGAAGUGGCGAACGGGUGAGUAAUGUAUAGCUAAUCUGCCCUACACUAGAGGACAACAGUUGGAAACGGCCGCUAAUACUCUAUAGUGUAGGAUGAGGCUAUAUUGUAUCAGCUAGUUGGUGAGGUAAUGGCUCACCAAGGCUAUGACGCAUAACUGGUCUGAGAGGAUGAUCAGUAGCACUGGAACUGAGACACCGACCCGACUCCUACGGGAGGGGGCAGUAGGGAAUAUUGCUCAAUGGGGGAAACCCUGAAGCAGCAACGCCGCGUGGAGGAUGACACUUAUCGGAGCGUAAACUCCUUUUGUUAGGGAAGCGGUACCUAACGAAUAAGCACCGGCUAACUCCGUGCCAGCAGCCGCGGUAAUUC
RNAcentral lists this ribosomal RNA (408 nucleotides) under uncultured bacterium. Its description in RNAcentral is "partial 16S ribosomal RNA". It matches the Rfam family "Bacterial small subunit ribosomal RNA", at positions 28 to 526 of the family's 1533-position model. The record is from RNAcentral.